AUUGAACGCUGGCGGCAGGCUUAACACAUGCAAGUCGAGCGGGGGAAGGUAGCGUGCUCCGGGACCUGGCGGCGGACGGGUGAGUAAUGCUUAGGAAUAUGCCUGUUAGGGGGGGACAACAUCUCGAAAGGAAUGCUAAUACCGCAUACGUCCUACGGGAGAAAGCAGCGGAUCUUCGGACCGUGCGCGAGUAGAUGAGCCUUAGUCGGAUUGGCUAGUUGGUGGGGUAAAGGCCUACCAAGGCGACGAUCUGUAGCGGGUCUGAGAGGAUGAUCCGCCACACUGGGACUGGGACACGGCCCAGACUCAUACGGGAGGCAGCAGUGGGGAAUAUUGGACAAUGGGGGGAACCCUGAUCCAGCCAUGCCGCGUGUGUGAAGAAGGCCUUAUGGUUGUAAAGCACUUUAAGCGAGGAGGAGGCUACUUUAGUUAAUACCUAGAGAUAGUGGACGUUACUCGCAGAAUAAGCACCGGCUAACUCUGUGCCAGCAGCCGCGGUAA
This 501-nucleotide ribosomal RNA is filed under the name uncultured bacterium. RNAcentral's name for it is "partial 16S ribosomal RNA". It matches the Rfam family "Bacterial small subunit ribosomal RNA", at positions 30 to 523 of the family's 1533-position model. The record is from RNAcentral.